This 497-nucleotide ribosomal RNA is filed under the name uncultured bacterium. RNAcentral describes it as "partial 16S ribosomal RNA". It matches the Rfam family "Bacterial small subunit ribosomal RNA", at positions 28 to 507 of the family's 1533-position model. The record is from RNAcentral.
GAUGAACGCUGGCGGCGUGCCUAAUACAUGCAAGUCGAGCGAACAGAUAAGGAGCUUGCUCCUUUGACGUUAGCGGCGGACGGGUGAGUAACACGUGGGUAACCUACCUAUAAGACUGGAAUAACUCCGGGAAACCGGGGCUAAUGCCGGAUAACAUUUAGAACCGCAUGGUUCUAAAGUGAAAGAUGGUUUUGCUAUCACUUAUAGAUGGACCCGCGCCGUAUUAGCUAGUUGGUAAGGUAACGGCUUACCAAGGCAACGAUACGUAGCCGACCUGAGAGGGUGAUCGGCCACACUGGAACUGAGACACGGUCCAGACUCCUACGGGAGGGAGCAGUAGGGAAUCUUCCGCAAUGGGCGAAAGCCUGACGGAGCAACGGCGCGUGAGUGAUGAAGGUCUUCGGAUCGUAAAACUCUGUUAUUAGGGAAGAACAAAUGUGUAAGUAACUGUGCACGUCUUGACGGUACCUAAUCAGAAAGCCACGGCUAACUACGUG